RNAcentral lists this ribosomal RNA (408 nucleotides) under uncultured bacterium. Its description in RNAcentral is "partial 16S ribosomal RNA". It matches the Rfam family "Bacterial small subunit ribosomal RNA", at positions 28 to 526 of the family's 1533-position model. The record is from RNAcentral.
GACGAACGCUGGCGGCGUGCUUAACACAUGCAAGUCGAACGAAGUGGCGAACGGGUGAGUAACGCGUAAUAAACCUGCCCUUCAGGGGAGGACAACAGUUGGAAACGACUGCUAAUACCGCAUACCGAAGGAAGGGAUGCGUGCUGCUGAGCUGGUUGGGGGGGUAACGGCCCACCAAGGCGAUGGGCCGUGGCCGGUCUGAGAGAACGAACGGCCACCUUGGGACUGAGACACGGCCCACACUCCGACUGGCGGCAGCAGUGGGGAAUCUUCCGCAAUGGACGAAAGUCUGACGAAGCAACGCCGCCUGCGGGAUGACGGCCUUCGGGUUGUCAAGCUCUGUGAAUCGGGACGCGGUACCCGAAUCGCAAGCCACGGCUAACUACGCGCCAGCAGCCGCGGUAAUUC